CCUACCUACCGACCCUUAAAAUUUUGAGGUGAAACAUAUAAUUUUUUUUUUGGCCUUAGCUAUAUUCAUUUUGUAUUGUAGACCUAGUGUUGUUACUUAGAAGUGUAUGUACAUUUUCCAGACUAUGCAUAUAUGUUUUUACGCAAGUGCUGUGUUUAAAUGAAGUUUUGCCUUUGUGUUUGGUGUUCCUGCAGGGAAGUCAUUGUGGCCGAGUGGACUUACGCACUGGUUUGACAAUCUUUCUAGGCGGUGGGUGCCGUACGUCGCUGGUUCGACCCCGGGCUGGGGCGAAAAUUUUCAGUACCUAGUUGUGAUUAUUUAGUGCUUUAUAUUAAUUAAUUGAUUAUCACAUGUAUCGUUUAGAUCCUAGGGGUAAACGUAAGGUUGGGUGUUAUAAUUGUUUGUUUGUGCUUUAUAUAUAUAUAUAUAUAUAUAUAUAUCGACCUAGUGUUGCAUAUAUAUAUAUAUAUAUACAUACAUAGGCAACACUAGGUCUAUCUCUCUCUCUCUCUCUCUCUAUAUAUAUAUAUAUAUCAGACGAUGAGUAAGUACACAUGAUCCACAUUUAAUUAAUUACACUUAAACUUGACUUAAUAGAAUAGAAUAUGAUUUAUUUCCAAAUUAGGGCCCUCUCGGGCAUACAUCAUACAUGAUUGUUAACAUUUCAAUGUGCAAUGACGAUAAAAAGAAAAACAAAACAAAACAAGAGUAAAAUCUGCACUAUUAGUAUGAGCAAUGUUCAUACAUGAGACGUUUGAACAUGAUAAUACUUAUUUGUAUUAUAUGUAAGUACCACCGUGUAUCCUAAUGCAAAACAGUCAGAAAUACACAUAGGGGAAUAUAUAUAUAUAUAUAUAUAUAUAUAUAUAUAUAUAUAUAUAUAUAUAUAGAUGUCUAUAUAUAUACAUGUACAUAACAACUCUACAUGUAAUAAUAGUAAAGGUAGUAAAGUACAUAUGAUUAACUCCACUGUAAUGCAAAAGAUACCACGGGACGGUGCAUUGGUACUAAAUCAACAUGUCAUGUUUAUAAUGAGUGCAUAUAUGCAAUAUGGUUCACACAUAAUAUACAGUAAUACUAGAAUACUAGUAGUAUGAGCUUAGACAAUGUACAUAACACGAGACAUUACUUGAUGUAAUAUAUGUAAGUAGAAAAAUCCAAUUUCAAAGGUUGGGCGUGCAAUAUCUCCGGAAGUUGUGCAAUCUCUCGGAAGUGAUGUCAAAUAUGACUAUGAGUACAAUUAAAUAUUUGGUAUUAGUAAUGAAACAGAAUUUUAGAGAUGUUUGUUCACAAAGCAGUCAACUACUGGCCUAAGUGAAUACAAACACGAAAUAUUACAAUCUGGAAUUUCAAUUCAACACCAUCAGUCCAUCACCCCGUCCUCGACUGAUUCACCAUAUAUUUGGGUAUAGUAAAAUCAUAUAUAAACUGCGGUACGUAUUUACCUUCAAUUAUUUUUCAUUAAUUUGACAGCUUAACGUUUUUCAUCAUGGGUUUUACAAGGCGACUCGCUUCAUCUUUACCGCCAUAUUGUACACGCCGUGUAUGGCAUCAUGGUCGGUUCUUUUGAUAUUAUUGAAUUAACUCUUAAGGGUUGUUAUUCUAUUCCCACACAUCUACUGUAAUAUUUAAGCAUUAAUUUUGUUUAUUUUAAAACUUAUCUGUAAGAUCGUAAUGUUUAUAUUUAGGCCUAAUUAGCUAACCCAACAACACGUGCUGAUUCAUAUUAUUCCUCUGAUAAUAUUGUUCAACUUCGUAGAAAAUGUUGCGACGUACCAAGCGACCAUCUAAAUCGCCUUACGCUAGACCGGCACAACAUCCAGCUCUUCGGUCAUUGCCCACACAGAAUUUGACCCCUGCAAUUCCAACCCGGAUUCAGCCCCGUCCAACAUCAAGUCAACCCCAAGAGGAGAAUCAGAUGGGCAUAUAGGACACAGCUACCAUUUUAUAAUCACAAAGGUGUAUGGAACGCCAAAUUAACAUAAACUCAAAUAAUUGAAGAUAUCUUCAAUUAUUUGAAGAUAUCAUUAAUUCAUUUGAUGCGCGCAACAAUUGAAUUAAAGAUAUCUUCAAAUAAUUAAUGAUAUCUUCAAUUCUGAAUUAUUGCGCGCAUUAAUUGAAUUGAUGAUAGCAUUAAUUCUUCAGCUGAAUUGAUGCUUGCUUUAAUUGAAUUAAUGAUCUCUUCAAAUGAAUUAAUGAUAUCAACAAUUGAAUUGAUGCGCGCUACAAUUCAAUUGAAGAGAGCAAUAAUUGAUAUAAUGCGCGCAUUAAAUCAUAUUGAUGAGAGCAAUAAUUGAAUUGAUGCGCGCAUUAAUUCAUUUGAUGAGAGCAAUAAUUGAUUUAAUGCGCGCAUUAAUUCAAUUAUUGCGCUCUUCAAUUGAAUUAGUGAUAUCUUUAAUUCAUUUGAAGAGAGCAAUAAUUCUUUUAGAGAGAGCAACUAUAUAAUUAAAGAUAUCUUUAAUUCAACAUAUCCACAAUUGAAUUAAUGAUCUCUUUAAUUUAAUUGUUGCUCUCUUUAAAAGAAUUGAUGCGCGCAUUAAUUCCGUUUACAAAAGCAUUGUAAAUGAUUUAAAGAUAUCUUCAAUUGAAUUAAAGAGAUCAUCAAAUUAUUUAUACCGAGCUCUAAAUUAAUUAUUGCGAGCAAUAUUUCUACUAAAUUGAUGCUCUCAUCAAAUGAAUUGAAGAGAGCAAUAAUUGAAUUAAUGCUCGCAUCAAAUCUAUUAUUGCUCUCAUUAAUUGAAUUAAUGCGCGCAUCAAUUGAAUUGAAGAGAGCAAUAAUUGAAUUAAUGCGCGCAUUAAAUCAAUUAUUGCUCUCAUUAAUUCAAUUGAUGCGCGCAUUAAUUCAAUUGAUGAGAGCAGUAAUUGAAUUGAAGCGCGCAUUAAUUCAUUUGAUGAGAGCAAUAAUUGAUUUAAUGCGCACAUUAAUUCAAUUAAAGAGAGCAAUAAUUGAAUUGAUUUUAUCUUCAAAUAAUUGAAGAUAUCUUCAAUUAUUUGAGUUUAUGUUAAUUUGGCGCUCCAUAAAGGUAGCCUCCCAGCCUAAUCGCGGAAACCACUGCACCCACUCAGCCACCGGCGACACCCUUCAUAACAGUAUCUGGGGAGUCGUCCCCAGUACGACCUGUUUGGCAGACAGCUUCCGGAGCCCGGAUGACAGUUCCCGCCAAGAGGCAUCUUGCGAUCAGAGCUUGAAUACGAAAGACGUAGAGAAUAGACGAACACACGAAUAACGACGAACAGUGAAAAGGUUCAUUCAGCGUUAUGCAUAGGUAAGUCUGUGGGUAACUCACGGGUUUACUGGGUCACACUAACACCCUAAUUACUUUAUUGGCGCCCAACGUGGGACCACAGGCUUAUCGGUGAAUUGACAGUUUGUUGUUUUUUCACACCACGCUGGUCAGCCGCCAUAUUGGCGGGAAGUCUCAGUUUGACUUGGAAAAAAAAAUUUCACUUUGAAUUAAAUUAAGAUUUUUGUGAUUAUUUUAGGAUUUAAUAUUUAAUUACAGAAUCAAUUUAGAUUAUUGACAUUUGCAUUUUUGUAUAUUUGUGCAUUGUUGUGUAUUAUGGAUACAUCUUUUGAUGAAGCGCUGUUUGGAUUGGGCUUACGAGCCCACCCAGACACCCCCGCGUUCACGCGUCGUGGCCCUACGCUGUCGCAGUUAGCUUCAGGUAGAGUUGA
Ostrea edulis (European flat oyster) is the source of this 3676-nucleotide long non-coding RNA. RefSeq lists it as uncharacterized. The transcript is spliced from 3 exons. Lineage: Eukaryota; Metazoa; Mollusca; Bivalvia; Ostreida; Ostreidae. The record is from RefSeq and is a predicted model, not a curated record.